This 428-nucleotide ribosomal RNA is filed under the name uncultured bacterium. RNAcentral's name for it is "partial 16S ribosomal RNA". It matches the Rfam family "Bacterial small subunit ribosomal RNA", at positions 354 to 796 of the family's 1533-position model. The record is from RNAcentral.
GUAGGGAAUAUUGCACAAUGGAGGAAACUCUGAUGCAGCGACGCCGCGUGAGUGAUAAAGGCCUUCGGGUCGUAAAGCUCUGUCGCAGGGGAAUAACACAAUGAAGGUACCCUGUAAGAAAGGAUCGGCUAACUUCGUGCCAGCAGCCGCGGUAAGACGAGGGAUCCUAGCGUUGUUCGGAAUCAUUGGGCGUAAAGCGGAUGUAGGUGGCUAUGUAAGUCAGAUGUGAAAGCCUGGGGCUCAACCCCAGAAGUGCAUUUGAUACUGCGUAGCUUGAGUGUCGGAGAGGUUACUAGAAUUGUUGGUGUAGUGGUGAAAUACGUAGAUAUCAACAGGAAUACCGGAGGCGAAGGCGGGUAACUGGCCGAACACUGACACUGAGAUCCGAAAGCGUGGGGAUCAAACAGGAUUAGAAACCCGAGUAGUCC